This 441-nucleotide ribosomal RNA is filed under the name uncultured bacterium. Its description in RNAcentral is "partial 16S ribosomal RNA". It matches the Rfam family "Bacterial small subunit ribosomal RNA", at positions 338 to 795 of the family's 1533-position model. The record is from RNAcentral.
CCUACGGGAGGCAGCAGUGGGGAAUAUUGCACAAUGGGGGGAACCCUGAUGCAGCGACGCCGCGUGGGUGAAGGAGUAUUUCGGUAUGUAAAGCCCUAUCAGCAGGGAAGAACAAUGACGGUACCUGACUAAGAAGCACCGGCUAAAUACGUGCCAGCAGCCGCGGUAAUACGUAUGGUGCAAGCGUUAUCCGGAUUUACUGGGUGUAAAGGGAGCGCAGGCGGCGCGUUAAGCCUGGUGUGAAAGUCCGCGGCCCAACCGCGGGACUGCAUUGGGAACUGGCGCGCUGGAGUGCCGGAGGGGUAGGCGGAAUUCCUAGUGUAGCGGUGAAAUGCGUAGAUAUUAGGAGGAACACCAGUGGCGAAGGCGGCCUACUGGACGGUGACUGACGUUGAGGCCCGAAAGCGUGGGGAGCAAACAGGAUUAGAUACCCCAGUAGUC